GUGUCAGCCGCCGCGGUAAGACGAACCGUGCAAACGUUGUUCGGAAUCACUGGGCUUAAAGGGCGCGUAGGCGGCGGGUCAAGUCCGGGGUGAAAGCUCCCGGCCCAACCGGGAAAGGGCCUCGGAUACUGACGCGCUCGAGGGAGGUAGGGGCAGGCGGAACUUCCGGUGGAGCGGUGAAAUGCGUUGAUAUCGGAAGGAACGCCGGUGGCGAAAGCGGCCUGCUGGACCUCUACUGACGCUGAGGCGCGAAAGCCAGGGGAGCAAACGGGAUUAGAUACCCCGGUAGUCC
This 292-nucleotide ribosomal RNA is filed under the name uncultured bacterium. Its description in RNAcentral is "partial 16S ribosomal RNA". It matches the Rfam family "Bacterial small subunit ribosomal RNA", at positions 505 to 796 of the family's 1533-position model. The record is from RNAcentral.